RNAcentral lists this ribosomal RNA (256 nucleotides) under uncultured bacterium. RNAcentral's name for it is "partial 16S ribosomal RNA". It matches the Rfam family "Bacterial small subunit ribosomal RNA", at positions 524 to 776 of the family's 1533-position model. The record is from RNAcentral.
UACGUAGGAUGCAAGCGUUUGUCCGGAUUUACUGGGCGUAAAGCGCGUGUAGGCGGCUAAGUAAGUCGGGCGUGAAAUCCCACGGCUCAACCGUGGAAGUGCACUCGAAACUGCAUAGCUAGAGUCCUGGAGAGGAAGGUGGAAUGCUUGGUGUAGAGGUGAAAUUCGUAGAUAUCAAGCGGAACACCGGUGGCGAAGGCGGCUCACUGGCCCCGGUACUGACGCUGAGGUGCGAAAGCGUGGGGGAGCAAACAGG